CGUGUAGGCGGUCUUUUAAGUCUGAUGUGAAAGCCCCGGGCUCAACCCGGGAAGUGCAUUGGAAACUGGGAGACUUGAAUACGGGAGAGGGUAGUGGAAUUCCUAGUGUAGGAGUGAAAUCCGUAGAUAUUAGGAGGAACACCGGUGGCGAAGGCGGCUACCUGGACCGACAUUGACGCUGAGACGCGAAAGCGUGGGGAGCAAACAGGAUUAGAUACCCUGGUAGUCCACGCCGUAAACGAUGAGAACUAGGUGUUGCGGGUAUUGACCCCUGCAGUGCCGCAGCUAACGCAUUAAGUUCUCCGCCUGGGAAGUACGGUCGCAAGACUAAA
This 332-nucleotide ribosomal RNA is filed under the name uncultured bacterium. RNAcentral's name for it is "bacterial SSU rRNA". It matches the Rfam family "Bacterial small subunit ribosomal RNA", at positions 568 to 898 of the family's 1533-position model. The record is from RNAcentral.